AGAGUUUGAUCCUGGCUCAGGAUGAACGCUGGCGGCGUGCUUAACACAUGCAAGUCGAACGAACCUUCGGGUUAGUGGCGGACGGGUGAGUAACGCGUGGGAAUCUGCCCUCAGGAGGGGGAUAACGGUUGGAAACGACCGCUAAUACCCCAUAUGCCGAGAGGUGAAAUGAAUUUCGCCUGAGGAUGAGCCCGCGUCUGAUUAGCUUGUUGGUGAGGUAAUGGCUCACCAAGGCAUCGAUCAGUAGCUGGUCUGAGAGGAUGAUCAGCCACACUGGGACUGAGACACGGCCCAGACUCCUACGGGAGGCAGCAGUGGGGAAUUUUCCGCAAUGGGCGCAAGCCUGACGGAGCAACGCCGCGUGAGGGACGAAGGCCUCUGGGCUGUAAACCUCUUUUCUCAAGGAAGAAGAUAUGACGGUACUUGAGGAAUAAGCCACGGCUAAUUCCGUGCCAGCAGCCGCGGUAAUACGGGAGUGGCAAGCGUUAUCCGGAAUUAUUGGGCGUAAAGCGUCCGCAGGCGGCCUUUCAAGUCUGCUGUUAAAGCGUGGAGCUUAACUCCAUCAUGGCAGUGGAAACUGAUUGGCUUGAGUAUGGUAGGGGCAGAGGGAAUUCCCGGUGUAGCGGUGAAAUGCGUAGAUAUCGGGAAGAACACCAGUGGCGAAGGCGCUCUGCUGGGCCAUUACUGACGCUCAUGGACGAAAGCCAGGGGAGCGAAAGGGAUUAGAUACCCCUGUAGUCCUGGCCGUAAACGAUGAACACUAGGUGUCGGGGGAAUCGACCCCUUCGGUGUCGUAGCUAACGCGUUAAGUGUUCCGCCUGGGGAGUACGCACGCAAGUGUGAAACUCAAAGGAAUUGACGGGGGCCCGCACAAGCGGUGGAGUAUGUGGUUUAAUUCGAUGCAACGCGAAGAACCUUACCAGGGCUUGACAUCCUGCGAACCUUUAAGAAAUUAGAGGGUGCCUUCGGGAACGCAGUGACAGGUGGUGCAUGGCUGUCGUCAGCUCGUGUCGUGAGAUGUUGGGUUAAGUCCCGCAACGAGCGCAACCCACGUUUUUAGUUGCCAGCAUUAAGUUGGGCACUCUAGAAAGACCGCCGGUGAUAAACCGGAGGAAGGUGUGGAUGACGUCAAGUCAUCAUGCCCCUUACGUCCUGGGCUACACACGUACUACAAUGCUACGGACAAAGGGCAGCAAACUCGCGAGAGCUAGCAAAUCCCAUAAACCGUGGCUCAGUUCAGAUCGUAGGCUGCAACUCGCCUACGUGAAGUAGGAAUCGCUAGUAAUCGCAGGUCAGCAUACUGCGGUGAAUACGUUCCCGGGCCUUGUACACACCGCCCGUCACACCAUGGAAGUUGGCCACGCCCGAAGUCGUUACUUUAACCCUUGUGGAGAAGGACGCCGAAGGUGGGGCUGAUGACUGGGGUGAAGUCGUAACAAGGUAGCCGUACCGGAAGGUGCGGCUG
RNAcentral lists this ribosomal RNA (1465 nucleotides) under Prochlorococcus sp. AG-402-K04. RNAcentral's name for it is "bacterial SSU rRNA". It matches the Rfam family "Bacterial small subunit ribosomal RNA". Lineage: Bacteria; Bacillati; Cyanobacteriota; Cyanophyceae; Synechococcales; Prochlorococcaceae. The record is from RNAcentral.